This 186-nucleotide non-coding RNA is filed under the name Moheibacter sediminis. Lineage: Bacteria; Pseudomonadati; Bacteroidota; Flavobacteriia; Flavobacteriales; Weeksellaceae. The record is from RNAcentral.
UUACAUUUGCCCCGAAUUGGUGUCCCGAUUAAAAUCGGGGUUAAAAGGGAAUCCGGUCAAAAUCCGGAGCUGUCCCCGCAACUGUAAGUUCAUUUAGUUGCUUUCUACAAUCCACUGUGCGUUGCGGCGUAUGGGAAGGAAAAAAGCAGAACAAGCCAGGAGACCUGCCAGUUCCAUAAUUAAAUA